This 117-nucleotide ribosomal RNA is filed under the name Streptococcus suis. Its description in RNAcentral is "partial 23S ribosomal RNA". It matches the Rfam family "Bacterial large subunit ribosomal RNA", at positions 2810 to 2925 of the family's 2925-position model. The record is from RNAcentral. Lineage: Bacteria; Bacillati; Bacillota; Bacilli; Lactobacillales; Streptococcaceae.
UUUCCCAUAACUUUAUGUUAGUAAGAGCCCUGAGAGAUGAUCAGGUAGAUAGGUUGGAAGUGGAAGUGUGGCGACACAUGUAGCGGACCAAUACUAAUCGCUCGAGGACUUAUCCAA